This 206-nucleotide long non-coding RNA is filed under the name Elaeis guineensis (African oil palm). Its description in RNAcentral is "long non-coding RNA (EGUI_LNC081227)". Lineage: Eukaryota; Viridiplantae; Streptophyta; Magnoliopsida; Arecales; Arecaceae. The record is from RNAcentral.
CAGGCUGUUCUUUCCUCCUUGACGGCUCUGGCUGUGGUAGGACCCUCGAUCGAUCUUUCCUACCCUCAGGCUGGCAUCGGAUAGAUCUGUCGAGCCGACCUCAUCUGAUGAGCUCCUCGAUCUCGUCUCGGAGCUGAAUACACUCCUCCGUGUCAUGGUCGUGGUCACGAUGAUAGAGGCAGAACUUGUUAGGGUUGCACUUCCCG